CUAAUACCGCAUGAAGCAGGGGCCCCGCAUGGGGAUAUUUGCUAAAGAUUCAUCGCUGAUAGAUAGGCAUGCGUUCCAUUAGGCAGUUGGCGGGGUAACGGCCCACCAAACCGACGAUGGAUAGGGGUUCUGAGAGGAAGGUCCCCCACAUUGGUACUGAGACACGGACCAAACUCCUACGGGAGGCAGCAGUGAGGAAUAUUGGUCAAUGGGCGUAAGCCUGAACCAGCCAAGUCGCGUGAGGGAUGAAGGUUCUAUGGAUCGUAAACCUCUUUUAUAAGGGAAUAAAGUGCGGGACGUGUCCCGUUUUGUAUGUACCUUAUGAAUAAGGAUCGGCUAACUCCGUGCCAGCAGCCGCGGUAAUACGGAGGAUCCGAGCGUUAUCCGGAUUUAUUGGGUUUAAAGGGUGCGUAGGCGGCCUUUUAAGUCAGCGGUGAAAGUCUGUGGCUCAACCAUAGAAUUGCCGUUGAAACUGGGGGGCUUGAGUAUGUUUGAGGCAGGCGGAAUGCGUGGUGUAGCGGUGAAAUGCAUAGAUAUCACGCAGAACCCCGAUUGCGAAGGCAGCCUGCCAAGCCAUUACUGACGCUGAUGCACGAAAGCGUGGGGAUCAAACAGGAUUAGAUACCCUGGUAGUCCACGCAGUAAACGAUGAUCGCUAGCUGUUUGCGAUACACUGUAAGCGGCAC
Molecule: ribosomal RNA, 686 nt
Filed under: uncultured bacterium
Lineage: Bacteria
Description: bacterial SSU rRNA
Rfam family: Bacterial small subunit ribosomal RNA
Source: RNAcentral